AUUAAAUUAAAGUCCUUUCCUCUCUAUUUCACACUGCAACGAUUUAGAUGAGCUUAUACAUCUUAGAAUUCUUAGCAUAGGAAAGUAGUAGAUCUGUAUAAAGGGUUGCUAAGCAGUAGCAACAAAUCCCUAUUCUUGAAAACCCUAACUCGCUGCGCUACUGUGAGAAGAUAAUCGGUAGCAGAAAUCUCAUCUACAAGCUAUGGAAUUGUUAAGUCUUCCACAAGAUAUUCAAUUUGAGAUUUUCAAGAGAUUACCAAUGAAAUCCAUCUCCAUCUGCAGGUGCGUAUGCAAGAUUUGUUAUACUGUACUUUCUAACCCUAAAUUCGUCAACAAUCUUAUCACUCGAACAAAUAAUAACCCUAGACUCAUGGUAUUUAAAAUUCCGCAAGCAAUAUUUAAAAAACCCAUAGAUUUAGUUUACUCCAUUGGUUAUGCUUCAGUAUUAACGUUGCCAACAUCUGAUCAUGUGUAUGAUGGAUAUGGAGGUGGAUAUGAAUAUGAAUAUGAAAGCAAUGGAGGAGCUGUUCAAAUUGAUUAUCCAUUUCAUAACUAGUAUGUUUCUACUUAUAGAGUUUUGGGGUCUUAUAAUGGUUUGUUUUGCUUGGUUACUUAUGGUAAAACUAUGUAUUUUUGGAUUUGGAAUCCCACCACUAGAGAAUAUAAGAAAAUUUCACGACCGACGUAUGAAUCACCAGUUGAGAUCUUAAGAUUUGGGUUUGGCCAUGAUAGCGAAAUGGAUGAUUACAAGAUAGUAAUAAUUUUCCGUUAUAAGAAUUCUCCUAAUUGCUUUAGACUGCGAGUAUACACAUUGGGUUCGGAUUCUUGGAACUAUAUUAACAACCCCAACUCUUAUUCGAUCUGGGCUUGUAAAACAUGUCUUUAUGGAAGAGAAUGUGGUUUGCUUUUCCAUGGAGCUCUUCAUUGGAUAGGCAAAAGCCUCAAAACAGACUCUGAAGUUAUUGUCUCUUUUGAUAUCAGCACCGAGAGACUCAUGGAUGUGCCGUUACGUGAAGAAAUUAAUCACCCUACAGAAGGUUGGGAAGAAUUGGAUUAACAUUUGGGGGUUUUGGGAGACUGCUUAUGUUUAGCUGUUGCUGUGGAAGAUACUCGAUUUGAUGUAUGGUGAUGCGACAUUAUGGAGUAGGAGACUCUUGGACUAAGCAAUUUACGAUUACCCAUGACCGGGUACAUCAUUUCACAACCAGGAAGUCAUUCUUUAAGCCGAUAUGGUCUUUUGAAAAUGGCAAGAUUCUAAUAGAGUCUCUGAAGGUUUUAAUGUUAUAUGAUCAAACAAAUGGAAUAGCUAAAAUGAUAAAAUUCCCUAUUAUUACUGGUAUGAGAACUGGAAGAGGUGUUUUACUGUUGAAUGGAGAGAGUUAUGUGGAAAGCCUAAUAUCACUGAAAUCUGGUACUUAUGUGGAGAAAAUGACUCCCACUCUAAACAUGGAGAAGUCCAUCAGUAAAUUGGUCAUCUUUCGAUUUCCAUAAUUAUGGGUCUGCAAGAAACUGUUCAUUGACACUAAAUGUUUCUAGCGAUUGUAAGAAAGUUCUUGUGAAGAUGAUUGGUUUCGUUGAGGUUCUAUUUCACCUAGCUAGUCUCUUAACAAAUUUAAGGGGACGGUUUUGGUUACAGGGGGCUCUUCAUUGGAUAGGCAAAAGCCACAGAACAGGCUCUGAAGUUAUUGUCUCUUUUGAUAUUAGCACUGAUAGACUCAUGGAUGUGCCGUUACUUGAAGAAAUUAAUGAUCCUCCAGAAGGUUGGGAAAAAUUGGAUAAACAUGUGGGGGGUGUUGGGAGACUGCUUAUGUUUAGCUGUUGCUGUGGAAGAUACUCGGUUUGAUGUAUGGGUGAUGCGAGAUUAUGGAGUCGCAGAGUCUUGGAGUAAGAAAUUUACGUUUACACAUGGCCAAGUACAUCAUUUUACAACAAGGAAUUCAUUCUUUAAGCCGAUAUGGUCUUUUGAAAAUUGCAAGAUUCUGAUAGAGUAUCUGAAGGAUUUAAUGUUAUAUGAUGCAGAAGAGGUAUUUUACUGUUGGAUGGAGAGAGUUAUGUGGAAAUCCUGGUAUCACUGAAAUCUUGUACUUAAGUGGAGAAGAUUACUACAACUGUAAAUAUAGAGAAGUCCGUCAGUACAUUGGUUAUCUUUCAAGUGUCAUAAUUAUGGGUCUGCAAGAAACUGGUUAGUAAUUCUCUUAUGCUUUUGUAUAUCUUUCCAUCUUGCAUUUUCCAAGUUUGAUUUGGGUCUUAGACGGUCUUUGGUACAUUAGGUGACUGUUUUGCUUAUAAACUCAAUAUUUGCAUCUUUUACUAUCACAAAAGUAGUGUCUCCUUACAAUUGACGGAAAUAAACCAUGUCUCCAUAGAGUAUUGCAUUUAUUUUUAUCUGGUAUUUUUCAAUGUUUUUCUACCUUUCGGGUAUGUAUUUGGAACAGUUUUGAAUCUUUUGAUUGUCCUUCGAAUCCAUUGCCUGGCAAAAUAGUAACUAUAAGAAAGCAUUUUGUCAGAGCAAUGGAUUGGCAUGGCCAUAACCUCAGUCUUUUGUUAAGAAUCUUACAGGGACCAACUGUUGUAUGCUCUGAUAGCCAGAGAGGUACAGUGCAGGGUACUUUUGCUGGUUUUACUUUGUAGGGGCAGGGUACUUCUGCUUUUUGUUUCUUCUGAAAAAACAAUCAAUCUCGUAAAUUGACUAAUUGGUAUGAUCUGA
Molecule: long non-coding RNA, 2707 nt
Organism: Papaver somniferum (opium poppy)
Lineage: Eukaryota; Viridiplantae; Streptophyta; Magnoliopsida; Ranunculales; Papaveraceae
Exons: 3
Source: RefSeq, a predicted model, not a curated record